Molecule: ribosomal RNA, 490 nt
Filed under: uncultured bacterium
Lineage: Bacteria
Description: bacterial SSU rRNA
Rfam family: Bacterial small subunit ribosomal RNA
Source: RNAcentral
GGCUCAGAUUGAACGCUGGCGGAAUGCUUUACACAUGCAAGUCGAACGGCAGCACGGACUUCGGUCUGGUGGCGAGUGGCGAACGGGUGAGUAAUAUAUCGGAACGUGCCCAAUAGUGGGGGAUAGCCCGGCGAAAGCCGGAUUAAUACCGCAUGAGACCUGAGGGUGAAAGCGGGGAUCGCAAGACCUCGCGCUAUUGGAGCGGCCGAUAUCAGAUUAGGUAGUUGGUGGGGUAAAGGCCCACCAAGCCAACGAUCUGUAGCUGGUCUGAGAGGACGACCAGCCACACUGGAACUGAGACACGGUCCAGACUCCUACGGGAGGCAGCAGUGGGGAAUUUUGGACAAUGGGCGCAAGCCUGAUCCAGCCAUUCCGCGUGCAGGAUGAAGGCCCUCGGGUUGUAAACUGCUUUUGUACAGAACGAAAAGGUUUCUACUAAUACUAGGAGCUCAUGACGGUACUGUAAGAAUAAGCACCGGCUAACUACGUG